CGGGGGGGAGGGGCGGCGAGGCGAGGCCUGCGGAGCGGAGGAAGACAAACAUAAAGAUGAAGUGCUUAAUUCAAGGUCACACAAUGUCGGGGAUGGACCUCCAGAUUUCCUUACUGACCUGCAUUAUCUUGUGGAUACCUGAGUGAAUUCCACACCACCCAUUUUAUAGAUGAAACCACUGAGACAUGGAGCAACUGACUGAGUAGUCACUGCCCCACCCCUGCCUGGAGCCUCACACAUGACUCGUCUCCUCUCAGUGACCACAGGUUGGUUGAGGGGUUUAACAAGGCUAAGAAGGUGAGACGUGGUCUUGUAACACAGUGGUUAAGAAUGUGACUUUGGAGCCAGCCUGCUAGGGGCUGAAUUCUGACUCAGCCAUUUACUAACUGUGUGACCUUAGGUGGAGUCUCACUCUGUAGCCCAAGCUGGAGUGGUGUGAUCUCGACUCACUGCAACCUCCGCCUCCUGGGCUCAAGUGAUUCUCGUGCCUCAGCCUCCUGAGUAGCUGGGACUACAGGUCACAGAAUUUUCCACACUCCUUGACGGAGGUGCUUAACCCUUAUCCAUCAGCAUUCUCAGACAGCACCUCCGGUUAGGGACAGUAUCUGACCGUCCGACAUCCCUGCAGCCCCCAUGUGUCACACAGACUCAGCCUCAGGUAGAUGGUUUCCGUAGAUGGUGGCUUUCUUUGGACCCUUGACAUCAACCAGUUACUAUUUGCUCAGCAAGGCCCACAUUUUCCCGGUGAAGCCACAGAACCACAGGGAGAAACCCAUGGACUUCGCCUCUCUCUCUAGGGGACCAGAUGUGCAGAGGUAAUGAAUACCAGGGAAUCAGGAAACCACUGGAUC
RNAcentral lists this non-coding RNA (851 nucleotides) under Pan troglodytes (chimpanzee). The record is from RNAcentral. Lineage: Eukaryota; Metazoa; Chordata; Mammalia; Primates; Hominidae.